CUACGGGCGGCUGCAGUGGGGAAUAUUGGACAAUGGACCAAAAGUCUGAUCCAGCAAUUCUGUGUGCACGAUGACGGUUUUCGGAUUGUAAAGUGCUUUCAACAGGGAAGAAGUUCUGACGGUACCUGUAGAAGAAGCGACGGCUAAAUACGUGCCAGCAGCCGCGGUAAUACGUAUGUCGCAAGCGUUAUCCGGAUUUAUUGGGCAUAAAGGGCAUCUAGGAGGCUUAGUAAGUCUGAUGUGAAAAUGCGGGGCUCAACUCCGUAUUGCGUUGGAAACUACUAGGCUAGAGUAUUGGAGAGGUAGGCGGAACUACAUGUGUAGAGGUGAAAUUCGUAGAUAUAUGUAGGAAUGCCGAUGACGAAGGUAGCUUACUGGACAAUUACUGACGCUGAAGUGCGAAAGCUAGGGGAGCAAACAGGAUUAGAUACCCCCGUAGUC
This 441-nucleotide ribosomal RNA is filed under the name uncultured bacterium. Its description in RNAcentral is "partial 16S ribosomal RNA". It matches the Rfam family "Bacterial small subunit ribosomal RNA", at positions 339 to 795 of the family's 1533-position model. The record is from RNAcentral.